ACAAAUUCCAAAACUCGUGUUUGGUAUUUGGUCAUAUGACUUUGUAAGGCAAGCGUCAUUAUCAUUUAUUGAUGAUGAGCUCGUUUUAUGAUCUUAUAUACCUUUUACCAGUCAUAUAACACAAAACACUUACAUUUAAAAUAUACAAUUUGACAACAAAUGGAACGAGAAUUGAAAUCGUUAAAAAUUAAAUAAUUUUAAUAA
RNAcentral lists this unclassified non-coding RNA (204 nucleotides) under uncultured fungus. Its description in RNAcentral is "sequence contains ITS1, 5.8S rRNA gene". The record is from RNAcentral. Lineage: Eukaryota; Fungi.